This is a non-coding RNA of Cinara cedri, 252 nucleotides long. Lineage: Eukaryota; Metazoa; Arthropoda; Insecta; Hemiptera; Aphididae. The record is from the annotation of a GenBank genome assembly.
UUCAUAACACAAUUUAGUUGUCUUGGCCCAUAAUUAUGUCACUUGUCGACUCAAUAUGGUUAAAACAUCUGUGAAAUACUAGAUGUGGAUUUUAUUCAACAUUUUGUGAAUUUUUUGAAUUUCGACGUAUGUAAAAAAUUUGAAAAUGAUCUUUGUCCAUAUUUUAUUUUUUUUAUUGGUAGUUAAGAGUAUGUUUAAAAGUUUAGUCCUUUAUUUAUCUAUAGUUAUUUCUUAACAUGUUUACAAUUGCAC